AGCAGCCGCGGUAAUUCCAGCUCCAAUAGCGUAUAUUAAAGUUGUUGCAGUUAAAAAGCUCGUAGUUGAAUUUCGGGAUUGACACAUCGGUCGUGCCUUAAGGGGUAUGAACUGGUGUAGUCAAUUUCUCACCUUCUGGAGAACCGCGAUGCCCUUAAUUGGGUGUCACGGGGAACCAGGACCUUUACUUUGAAAAAAUUAGAGUGUUUAAAGCAGGCAUUUUGCUUGAAUACAUUAGCAUGGAAUAAUAAAAUAGGACGGCAUGAUUCUAUUUUGUUGGUUUCUAGGAUCACCGUAA
RNAcentral lists this ribosomal RNA (298 nucleotides) under uncultured Entrophosporaceae. RNAcentral's name for it is "uncultured Claroideoglomeraceae partial small subunit ribosomal RNA". It matches the Rfam family "Eukaryotic small subunit ribosomal RNA", at positions 569 to 865 of the family's 1831-position model. Lineage: Eukaryota; Fungi; Glomeromycota; Glomeromycetes; Entrophosporales; Entrophosporaceae. The record is from RNAcentral.